GGGCCAAAGCUCAGUGGUAGAGCAUCUUCUUUCCAUGUAGAAGGUCCCAGGUUCAACCCCUGUCAUCUCCA
This is a non-coding RNA of Podarcis lilfordi (Lilford's wall lizard), 71 nucleotides long. The record is from the annotation of a GenBank genome assembly. NCBI's taxonomy places the organism in Eukaryota, Metazoa, Chordata, Lepidosauria, Squamata, Lacertidae.